AGUAGGGAAGUGUGUGAGCCAUGCGUCAAGAAAAGCCGCUAUUGUUUUACUUAAGCCCGUACCGUAAACCGACACAGGUGGAUGAGGAGAGAAUCCUAAGGCCGACGGGAGAAGCAUUGUUAAGGAACUCGGCAAAAUGACUCCGUAACUUCGGGAGAAGGAGUGCCAGCGAGAGCUGGCCGCAGAGAAUUGGCCCAAGCAACUGUUUAGCAAAAACACAGGUCUAUGCAAAACCGUAAGGUGAAGUAUAUGGGCUGACGCCUGCCCGGUGCUGGAAGGUUAAGAGGAGAGGUUAGCGGUAACGCGAAGCUUUGAAUUUAAGCCCCAGUAAACGGCGGCCGUAACAAUAACGGUCCUAAGGUAGCGAAAUUCCUUGUCGGGUAAGUUCCGACCCGCACGAAAGGCGUAAUGAUUUGGGCACUGUCUCAACAAUGCACCCGGUGAAAUUGGAAUACCAGUGAAGAUGCUGGUUACCUGCGCCAGGACGGAAAGACCCCAUGGAGCUUUACUCCAGCUUGAUACUGGGAUUCGGUAUUGCAUGUACAGGAUAGGUGGGAGGCUAGGAAGUGAUAACGCCAGUUGUCACGGAGCCGCUGUUGGGAUACCACCCUUGCAGUAUUGGAUUUCUAACCAGCGACCAUGAACUGGUCGGGGGACAAUGUCAGGUGGGGAGUUUGACUGGGGCGGUCGCCUCCGAAAGGGUAUCGGAGGCGCUCAAAGGUUCCCUCAGAAUGGACGGAAACCAUUCGAAGAGUGCAAAGGCAGAAGGGAGCUUGACUGCGACACCGACGGGUGGAGCAGGUACGAAAGUAGGACUUAGUGAUCCGGUGGUAUAAAGUGGGAUUGCCAUCGCUCAACGGAUAAAAGCUACCCAGGGAUAACAGGCUUAUCACUCCCAAGAGUUCACAUCGACGGAGUGGUUUGGCACCUCGAUGUCGGCUCAUCGCAUCCUGGGGCUGAAGUAGGUCCCAAGGGUUGGGCUGUUCGCCCAUUAAAGCGGUACGCGAGCUGGGUUCAGAACGUCGUGAGACAGUUCGGUCCCUAUCCGGCGUGGGCGUAGGAUAUUUGAGAGGAGCUGUCCUUAGUACGAGAGGACCGGGAUGGACUGGCCGCUGGUGUAUCUGUUGCAUACCAAAUGCAUGGCAGAGUAGCCAAGCCGGGACGGGAUAAACGCUGAAGGCAUCUAAGCGUGAAGCCCCCCUCAAGAUGAGAUAUCCCUACGUAAGUAGUAAGACCCCUUGAAGACGACGAGGUAGAUAGGUCAGAGGUGGAAGUACAGUAAUGUAUGGAGCUGACUGAUACUAAUCGGUCGAGGGCAUGACC
Molecule: ribosomal RNA, 1323 nt
Filed under: metagenome
Description: bacterial LSU rRNA
Rfam family: Bacterial large subunit ribosomal RNA
Source: RNAcentral